UGGAAGCGUCUGGAAAGGCGCGCGAUACAGGGUGACAGCCCCGUACACAAAAAUGCACAUGCUGUGAGCUCGAUGAGUAGGGCGGGACACGUGGUAUCCUGUCUGAAUAUGGGGGGACCAUCCUCCAAGGCUAAAUACUCCUGACUGACCGAUAGUGAACCAGUACCGUGAGGGAAAGGCGAAAAGAACCCCGGCGAGGGGAGUGAAAAAGAACCUGAAACCGUGUACGUACAAGCAGUGGGAGCACGCUUAGGCGUGUGACUGCGUACCUUUUGUAUAAUGGGUCAGCGACUUAUAUUCUGUAGCAAGGUUAACCGAAUAGGGGAGCCGAAGGGAAACCGAGUCUUAACUGGGCGUUAAGUUGCAGGGUAUAGACCCGAAACCCGGUGAUCUAGCCAUGGGCAGGUUGAAGGUUGGGUAACACUAACUGGAGGACCGAACCGACUAAUGUUGAAAAAUUAGCGGAUGACUUGUGGCUGGGGGUGAAAGGCCAAUCAAACCGGGAGAUAGCUGGUUCUCCCCGAAAGCUAUUUAGGUAGCGCCUCGUGAAUUCAUCUCCGGGGGUAGAGCACUGUUUCGGCAAGGGGGUCAUCCCGACUUACCAACCCGAUGCAAACUGCGAAUACCGGAGAAUGUUAUCACGGGAGACACACGGCGGGUGCUAACGUCCGUCGUGAAGAGGGAAACAACCCAGACCGCCAGCUAAGGUCCCAAAGUCAUGGUUAAGU
Molecule: ribosomal RNA, 728 nt
Filed under: Shigella flexneri
Lineage: Bacteria; Pseudomonadati; Pseudomonadota; Gammaproteobacteria; Enterobacterales; Enterobacteriaceae
Description: partial 23S ribosomal RNA
Rfam family: Bacterial large subunit ribosomal RNA
Source: RNAcentral